Bos taurus (domestic cattle) is the source of this 72-nucleotide non-coding RNA. The record is from Rfam. Lineage: Eukaryota; Metazoa; Chordata; Mammalia; Artiodactyla; Bovidae.
UCCCUGGUAGCUCAGCUGGUAAAGAAUCAGUCUGUAAUGCAGGAGCCCCAGGUUCGAUUCCUGGUUUGGGAA